This 636-nucleotide long non-coding RNA is filed under the name Bos taurus (domestic cattle). Its description in RNAcentral is "long non-coding RNA NONBTAT007390". Lineage: Eukaryota; Metazoa; Chordata; Mammalia; Artiodactyla; Bovidae. The record is from RNAcentral.
AACUAAUUUAUGGCUUCUAGAAAUACACAUCACUGAAGUGUAACAUACUUUAUCCUUUAGAGGACAUAGUGUUUCCUUCUUAGAGGGAUUAUUGCUUGGAUUAGGGGUGAGGUGUAAGGUGCACCUAAGAUAUUAAUAGAUGUUUAGCUUAUGGUGGUUCUCUUCCUCCUCUCUCUUUGUAACCUUCUUUGAAUUAAUAGUAUACAUAUUUUGUAAUAGGACUAGAUACUAUGUCUUGUUAUUGACUGACUUUUUUAUGCAUUCAGUGUAUACUGAUAGUAUACAUUCAUGCCAGGUAUAGGUGUUAUUGUUAUUUUUAUAGUAUCUGUUGAUAUUAGUAUAAUUUACUGUUUCAAAGCAGAAAUAUUCAAGCCACAUCCACUAUUUAUACAAAGACACAUAUGCAUAACCAGGAGAGAUAAGCAGACAACAAGCAUUAACAAAGCCUGUGACCAUUUGUGGAAUACAGAAGAAAUAUAUUUUCCCCUACUUGGAGAAUAAUGAAACUUUAGUUCACUAUGGGAGCAGAAGGGGCAAUCAAUGUCCAAAACUAAUCAUGCCAGCUCUGAGAAAAAGCAACUCGGAAAGAAAAAAAAUGGACAAAAUAUCUGCAUAGCUUGCACUUCAGACAUAAUU